AUGUUAGAAUUGGUGAGUCUCAGGUGGAAACAUAAUUAUGGGAUUGCUUUUGUUUCAAGGGAUUUUACUGUUUUUAGGUAUCUGACUGAGACCUAGACCCAUAAUUCCCACUCAUCAAAGCUCGGACCUUUCACCUCAAUUCAGUUUAAAAUUUCCACAAUUUUACAUGAUCUGUGCGGAGUUUGAACAGUUUAAGAGAAAUCCAUUUCAGGUUUUGCAUCCUUUCUUAGAAAUUCACAGUGUUUGUUAUCAUGGGAUUGAUCUUAAGGUUCCAGGAUGAACGUGAUGGGUUCAUUUCGUGACUGCGGGAUGAGAAAGACGUGGGUUUGGGAAGAAACAGAUGCGAGGAGGGAAGAGAGAGUGA
RNAcentral lists this long non-coding RNA (364 nucleotides) under Rosa chinensis. Its description in RNAcentral is "sRNA RchiOBHm_Chr5g0044091". Lineage: Eukaryota; Viridiplantae; Streptophyta; Magnoliopsida; Rosales; Rosaceae. The record is from RNAcentral.